RNAcentral lists this ribosomal RNA (403 nucleotides) under uncultured bacterium. RNAcentral's name for it is "bacterial SSU rRNA". It matches the Rfam family "Bacterial small subunit ribosomal RNA", at positions 29 to 460 of the family's 1533-position model. The record is from RNAcentral.
AACGAACGCUGGCGGCAGGCCUAACACAUGCAAGUCGAGCGCGCCUUUCGGGGUGAGCGGCGGACGGGUUAGUAACGCGUGGGAAUAUACCCUUUUCUGCGGAAUAGCCUCUGGAAACGGAGAGUAAUACCGCAUACGCCCUUUGGGGAAAGAUUUAUCGGAGAAGGAUUAGCCCGCGUUAGAUUAGGUAGUUGGUGGGGUAAUGGCCUACCAAGCCUACGAUCUAUAGCUGGUUUUAGAGGAUGAUCAGCAACACUGGGACUGAGACACGGCCCAGACUCCUACGGGAGGCAGCAGUGGGGAAUCUUGGACAAUGGGGGCAACCCUGAUCCAGCCAUGCCGCGUGAGUGAUGAAGGCCUUAGGGUCGUAAAGCUCUUUCGCCUGUGAAGAUAAUGACGUAGC